CGAGUCGAGUUGUUUGGGAAUGCAGCUCAAAAUGGGUGGUAAAUUUCAUCUAAAGCUAAAUAUGGGCCAGAGACCGAUAGCGCACAAGUAGAGUGAUCGAAAGAUGAAAAGCACUUUGGAAAGAGAGUUAAACAGUACGUGAAAUUGUUGAAAGGGAAGCGCUUGCAACCAGACUUGGGCGCUGCCGAUCACCUUGAGUUUUCUCGAGUGCACUCGACAGCGCACAGGCCAGCAUCGGUUCGGGUGGCUGGAUAAAGGCCGUAGGAAUGUGGCUCUCUUCGGGGAGUGUUAUAGCCUACGGUGCCAUGCAGCCCAGCCGGACCGAGGACCGCGCCUUCGGGCUAGGAUGCUGGCGUAAUGGUUGUAAGCGACCCGUCUUGAAACACGGACCAAGGAGUCUAACAUCUAUGCGAGUGUUUGGGUGGUAAACCCAUACGCGGAAUGAAAGUGAACGUAGGUGAGAACCCCUUUGGGGCGCAUCAUCGACCGAUCCUGAUGUCUUCGGAUGGAUUUGAGUAAGAGCAUAGCUGUUGGGACCCGAAAGAUGGUGAACUAUGCCUGAAUAGGGUGAAGCCAGAGGAAACUCUGGUGGAGGCUCGCAGCGGUUCUGACGUGCAAAUCGAUCGUCAAAUUUGGGCAUAGGG
This 644-nucleotide ribosomal RNA is filed under the name Erysiphe quercicola. Its description in RNAcentral is "partial large subunit ribosomal RNA". It matches the Rfam family "Eukaryotic large subunit ribosomal RNA", at positions 261 to 922 of the family's 3401-position model. Lineage: Eukaryota; Fungi; Ascomycota; Leotiomycetes; Helotiales; Erysiphaceae. The record is from RNAcentral.